GGAGAGAUAGCUUAAGUGGUAGAGCACAUGCCUAGCACGCACAAGGUCCUGGGUUCAAUCUCAGUACCUCCA
This 72-nucleotide transfer RNA is filed under the name Camelus bactrianus (Bactrian camel). It matches the Rfam family "tRNA". From Rfam's summary of the family: Transfer RNA (tRNA) molecules are approximately 80 nucleotides in length. The record is from Rfam by way of RNAcentral. Lineage: Eukaryota; Metazoa; Chordata; Mammalia; Artiodactyla; Camelidae. RNAcentral also lists the same sequence under 3 other names.